This is a long non-coding RNA of Cyprinus carpio carpio, 633 nucleotides long. NCBI's taxonomy places the organism in Eukaryota, Metazoa, Chordata, Actinopteri, Cypriniformes, Cyprinidae. The record is from Ensembl.
UGGGCAUGAUAUUUCACAGCAGCGGUGGAGGAAAGAAAGCCAUAAUGUUUUGGAAACACGUGAGGUGUGGAUGAGAGAUGCUGCUGCUGUAAUGUGAAGGUGACUGACUGUACGCUUGAUUCAUCGCUGAUGGAGAGAUACUGUUAUUCCAAGGCUGGAUAAUAAAACACAGAAUGCACAACCUGGAGAUCGUUCAACUCUUUUCUACACACACCGACAAACACAACACUGGGUUCAAAGUGUAGUCAGACUCUCUCUCACAAUUAUUCAGAUCAUCUGAAGACUCUGACAUUCACUUAUUAUUUACCACAUCAACAGCACUUCACACCGAUGAGAUGAUACACUAUAGAUGAAUCACUUUCAUCGUCACAUUCACCACAAGCUGAAGAAGAUCUCACGGCUUCCGUCUUAUAUAAGGUGGUUUGGGACGAAAAUGUCACAGAAUCAAGAAGCAACUGUCAAAAACACUUCAAAGUCUUCUGGUUAACUGUGAGCUAUUUAAAGCAGCGACAUUCAGCGAAUGAGAACGACACCGAGAUGGACAAGUGUGAUUUUCAAGAACAUUUGCAAAAACAAACUUGUUCCAGUGAAGUCAAGAGCACAUUAAAUCUAAUUACUCAGAAAAAAAAAAAA